UUAAACGAAUAAGAGCGUACGGCGGAUGUCUUGGCAUAUAGAGCAGAAGAAGGACGCAGCAAACGGCGAAACGCCUCGGGGAGUCGUAAACAGACUAAGAUCCGGGGAUAUCCGAAUGGGGAAACCCGAUACUCGUAAUGGAGUAUCAUCCAUAAGUGAAUACAUAGCUUAUGAGAAGGAAACCUAGGGAAUUGAAACAUCUUAGUACCUAGAGGAGAAGAAAACAAAAGUGAUUCCGAAAGUAGUGGCGAGCGAAAUCGGAGAAGCCCAAACCAUUCUAAGGAGUGGGGUUGUAGGGGCUACAGCAAAGCGUAUUUACAAGUAAUAGUCGAAUGAGAUUGAAAGCUCAGUCAAAGAAGGUGCAAACCCUGUAGACGAAAUUAUGAGUAAGCGUGAGUAGCUACCUGAGUACAACGAGGCACGUGGAACCUUGUUGGAAUCUACCUGGACCAUCAGGUAAGGCUAAAUACUCCUAUAUGACCGAUAGUGAACCAGUACCAUGAGGGAAAGAUGAAAAGAACCGCGGGAGCGGAGUGAAAUAGAACCUGAAACCGUAUGCUUACAAGAAGUCAGAGCACAUUAACGUGUGAUGGCGUGCCUUUUGUAGAAUGAACCGGCGAGUUAUCCUUACAUGCAAGGUUAAGCAGACAAUGCGGAGCCGAAGCGAAAGCGAAUCUUAAUAGGGUGAAUAGUAUGUAGGGAUAGACCCGAAGCCGUUGUGAUCUAAUCAUGAGCAGGUUGAAGGUUGGGUGAUUCCAACUGGAGGACCGAACCGACCAUCGUUGAAAAGCUGGCGGAUGACUUGUGAUUAGCGGAGAAAUUCCAAUCGAACACGGCGAUAGCUGGUUCUCCCCGAAAUAGCUUUAGGGCUAGCGUUGAAUGAAUCACCAUGGAGGUAGAGCACUGAAUUCUCGCGGGCGGCGUCUAGCCGUACCAAUAGAAAUCAAACUCCGAAUGCCAUGAAUGAAUGUUCAGCAGUCAGACUAUGGGUGAUAAGGUCCGUAGUCAAAAGGGAAACAGCCCAGACCAUCAGAUAAGGUCCCAAAAUUUACACUAAGUGGAAAAGGAAGUGGAGUCGCGCAAACAGCUAGGAGGUUGGCUCAGAAGCAGCCAUCCUUCAAAGAGUGCGUAACAGCUCACUAGUCGAGUAACUCUGCGCCGAAAAUUUACCGGGGCUAAGUGUAAUACCGAAUCUAUGGCUUUGUACGUAUGUACAAGGGGUAGGGGAGCGUUCCAAACAGCAUUGAAGGUAUACCGUAAGGAGUGCUGGAGCGUUUGGAAGUGAGAAUGCCGGUGUGAGUAGCGAGAUGCAGGUGAGAAUCCUGCACACCGAUAGACCAAGGUUUCCAGGGCAAGGCUCGUCCUCCCUGGGUAAGUCGGGACCUAAGGCCAGGCCGAAAGGCGUAGUCGAUGGACAACAGGUUGAUAUUCCUGUACCCGCGUAUCAAAUGAUGGAGUGACAGAAAAGGUUAACUUUACCUCUUAAUGGAUUGAGGGACAAGCGAAGUAGCAGGCACAUAGGCAAAUCCGUGUGCGAAAUGCAAAGCGUGACGUGGAGCGAACGAGCGAUCAAGUAGCGAAGUAAGUGAUACCAGUUCUCAAGAAAAGCUUCUAGUGUUAAUUGAUAAGCGGCCCGUACCAAAACCGACACAGGUGGUCAAGGCGAGUAGCCUGAGGUGAGCGAGAGAACUGUUGCCAAGGAACUCGGCAAAUUGACCCCGUACGUUAGCAAUAAGGGGUGCUCAAACGAGCCACAGUAAAUAGGCCCAAGCAACUGUUUAACUAAAACAUAGCUCUCUGCUAAGUCGCAAGACGAAGUAUAGGGGGUGACACCUGCCCGGUGCUGGAAGGUCAAAAGGAUUAGUUAGUCUAUAAGGCGAAGCUAUGAAUUGAAGCCCCAGUGAACGGCGGCCGUAACUAUAACGGUCCUAAGGUAGCGAAAUUCCUUGUCAGGUAAGUUCUGACCCGCACGA
Molecule: ribosomal RNA, 1973 nt
Filed under: feces metagenome
Description: bacterial LSU rRNA
Rfam family: Bacterial large subunit ribosomal RNA
Source: RNAcentral